This 1572-nucleotide long non-coding RNA is filed under the name Trifolium pratense (red clover). Its description in RNAcentral is "long non-coding RNA (TPRA_LNC011737)". Lineage: Eukaryota; Viridiplantae; Streptophyta; Magnoliopsida; Fabales; Fabaceae. The record is from RNAcentral.
GUUUUAGACCACUUUGUUUUAGGCGUGGACAACUAAAGUCUGAUCUAAAGCCAAAAAUGUUGUAGUGGGAAGAGGAGGCACGGUGGUUGAGACCAUCAGAGCGUGAAAAUGAGACCCUGGCAGUCAACCCUCAAGGCAAUAUGGUCCUAUUAUAAGACUCUUCAAAUGCAUGCUAAGAAAAACCCAAACAAGUUAGAGACCUCCUUCACAUUGCUAGAAAUUUAUCGACCGGACCGGACUAUUCGCAAGUCGCAACAAGAGUAUUACCCUUCAAAACAACUUCAUCCGACAAUAGCUGCUAAAGCAUCGUAUUUAGUGGCAAGACAAUAGUUCACUUUGAUGCCUAAGAUAUUGAAAAAAUUGCACCAUCAGAAAAGAAUAAUUGAGACAAAGUGAAUUUUAUUUUUAAACAAACUUUUAAAACUAGUUUGAUGAUAGCAUAAUUUCCCUGCAACUUAACCAAAGAGAAUCCCAAACUUUGGCUUCAUUUUCAUUCAUCACAAGUGAAUUGGGGAUUUUGUCAUAGUUCAUAUAUACUGCCAGAAGAGGAAAUGCAUCGGAGUACUGAUAUCUAUCAUGCAUCAGAACUUAUGUAUAUGCCUAUAUGGUAAUAUAACAAUGAUCUUUUAGAUCUUCUUCAUUUAAUAUUUUAAUAACUAAUAAUAAUAUAAUUAAAAAACCAUUGCGUGUGAGUUACACUGCUAUAUUCUUUAAAACCAAAAUAAAUUUAACAACCACUUUUGGCUUAUCUUGUCUUUCAUAGUAGCCACAAAGAUUCCCAUUACCAACAAUAGACAAAAACAACAUUAUCUAUUGUGGUGGUCUCCCCACACAGAUAAGGUUGUCAUAAUCAUGAUUCUAUCACUUGCAUCAAUCCCCAUCCAACUUUUAACUAAAAAUAUUGGAAACAUGCACAAGAUCAUGCAUUGUCUCUGGCAAGUGGUUGAACUACCCUCAAUUGUCUUUAGCUAGUGCCUAAAUCUAAGGUUGUUGUAGAGGCCGUUGCACCGUAGAGGCAAUAUAUCAUCUAAAUCCCCAUAAUAGCACACAAAUAAUUUCUAUCGACGAUUUGCCGGUAUAACACUACUUAAGAAAUAGAAAACAAGGUUGCAACAUCUGCAGAGGAUCCCCAUACACUAUUACAUAAUCUUUGACACAAGUUAGUCGAUUAUCAGCUAUCUCCCUGUGACUAGUCUCUUCUGCUAUUCAGAUUAUAAGCAAAUGAUUAGAUAAGAAUCUUUACCAAAAUUUAUAAUUUCAUAAUGCAGCCAGAAAUUGUCCACAUAAACAUAAAAUGCAACUAUAAUAUAUCUCACCAUCUGGGACAAAAUGCAAAGGCAAUUUUGGGAAAUAAUACAAUCAUCAAUUCCACAUGCAUCUAACAAUGACAGAAUGUAUUACUAUUCAAUAUAUAGACAAAGCCACUUUUUUCUUCUUUUUUUGUGAACAAAAAUCACUCUCAUUAUACCCUUCAAAAUUCAAACAUGUUAUGUUAAAGAUAACAUGUUUGUGUCUUGGAAUCUCUUUUGAUGAACAAUUUAAUUAAGUGUUUAUAGCAUAACCGAUUAUGAC